Molecule: ribosomal RNA, 441 nt
Filed under: uncultured bacterium
Lineage: Bacteria
Description: partial 16S ribosomal RNA
Rfam family: Bacterial small subunit ribosomal RNA
Source: RNAcentral
CCUACGGGGGGCUGCAGUGGGGGAUAUUGCACAAUGGGGGGAACCCUGAUGCAGCGACGCCGCGUGGGUGAAGGAGUGCUUCGGCAUGUAAAGCCCUAUCGGCAGGGAAGAAGCAAGACGGUACCUGACUAAGAAGCCCCGGCUAACGACGUGCCAGCAGCCGCGGUAAUACGUAGGGGGCGGGCGUUAUCCGGAUUCACUGGGUGUAAGGGGGGCGUAGACGGCCAUGCAAGCCAGGGGUGAAAGCCCGGGGCCCAACGCCGGGACUGCCCUUGGAACUGCAUGGCGCGAGUGCGGGAGGGGGAGGAGGAAUGGCUGGUGUAGCGGUGAAAUGCGUAGAUAUCAGGAGGAACACCGGCGGCGAAGGCGGCCUGCUGGACUGCGACUGACGUGGAGGCUCGAAAGCGUGGGGAGCGAACAGGAUUAGAUACCCCAGUAGUC